RNAcentral lists this ribosomal RNA (777 nucleotides) under uncultured archaeon. Its description in RNAcentral is "bacterial SSU rRNA". It matches the Rfam family "Archaeal small subunit ribosomal RNA", at positions 1 to 776 of the family's 1478-position model. The record is from RNAcentral.
UUCGCCCUUUUCCGGUUGAUCCCGCCGGACCUGACUGCUAUCGGAUUGAUACUAAGCCAUGCGAGUCAUUGUAGCAAUACAAGGCAGACGGCUCAGUAACGCGUAGUCAACCUAACCUAUGGACGGGAAUAACCUCGGGAAACUGAGUAUAAUGCCCGAUAGAACAUUAUGCCUGGAAUGGUUUAUGUUCCAAAUGAUUUAUCGCCAUAGGAUGGGACUGCGGCCUAUCAGUUUGUUGGUGAGGUAAUGGCCCACCAAGACUACUACAGGUACGGGCUCUGAGAGGAGUAGCCCGGAGAUGGGUACUGAGACACGGACCCAGGCCCUAUGGGGCGCAGCAGACGAGAAAACUUUGCAAUGUGCGAAAGCACGACAAGGUUAAUCCGAGUGGUUUCUGCUAAAGGAACCUUUUGUUAGUCUUAGAAACACUAACGAAUAAGGGGUGGGCAAGUUCUGGUGUCAGCCGCCGCGGUAAAACCAGCACCUCAAGUGGUCAGGAUGAUUAUUGGGCCUAAAGCAUCCGUAGCCGGCUCUGUAAGUUUUCGGUUAAAUCUGUACGCUCAACGUACAGGCUGCCGGGAAUACUGUAGAGCUAGGGAGUGGGAGAGGUAGACGGUACUCGGGAGGAAGGGGUAAAAUCCUUUGAUCUCUCGAUGACCACCUGUGGCGAAGGCGGUCUACCAGAACACGUCCGACGGUGAGGGAUGAAAGCUGGGGGAGCAAACCGGAUUAGAUACCCGGGUAGUCCCAGCCGUAAACUAUGCAAACUCAGUGAUG